UACGUAGGGGGCAAGCGUUGUCCGGAAUCAUUGGCGUAAAGAGCGUGUAGGCGGCUCGAUAAGUCUGCUGUGAAAGUCCAGGGCUCAACCCUGGAAGGCCGGUGGAAACUGUCGGGCUAGAGUCCGGAAGAGGCGAGUGGAAUUCCCGGUGUAGCGGUGAAAUGCGCAGAUAUCGGGAGGAACACCAAUGGCGAAGGCAGCUCGCUGGGACGGUACUGACGCUGAGACGCGAAAGCGUGGGGAGCAAACAGG
Molecule: ribosomal RNA, 252 nt
Filed under: uncultured bacterium
Lineage: Bacteria
Description: partial 16S ribosomal RNA
Rfam family: Bacterial small subunit ribosomal RNA
Source: RNAcentral